CCAUGUGCCACCACUCAAUGUCGCCAAUGCCACCACCCCAUGUCCCCAUGUGCCACCACCCCACGUUCCCAUGUGCCACCACCCCGUGUCCCCAGGUGCCACCACCCAAUGUCCCCACGUGCCAACACCCCAUGUGCCACCACCCCACAUCCCCACGUGCCACCACCCCCUGUCCCCAUGUGCCACCAUCCCCAUGUGCCACCACCCAAUGUCCCCAAUGCCACCACCCCAUGUGCCACCACCCCAUGUCCCCAGGUGCUACCACCCAAUGUCCCCGUGGGCCACCACCCCCAUGUCCCCAAUGCUGCCACUCCAAUGUCCCCAUGUGCCACCACCCCAAUGUCCCCAUGUGCCACCACCCAAUGUCCCCAAUGCCACCACCCCAUGUGCCACCACCCCAUGUCCCCAGGUGCUACCACCCAAUGUCCCCAUGUGCCACCACCCCAAUGUCCC
RNAcentral lists this long non-coding RNA (453 nucleotides) under Numida meleagris (helmeted guineafowl). RNAcentral's name for it is "lncRNA (ENSNMEG00000001026.1)". The record is from RNAcentral. Lineage: Eukaryota; Metazoa; Chordata; Aves; Galliformes; Numididae.